Molecule: long non-coding RNA, 2567 nt
Filed under: Homo sapiens (human)
Lineage: Eukaryota; Metazoa; Chordata; Mammalia; Primates; Hominidae
Description: HSALNT0275253
Source: RNAcentral
GUGGCUUGCAUGACGGGAACAACCCUUGGAGGGUUGCUGAGAAUACUGGGCUGGUGGUGGCAGAGCUCUAGUCCAUAGCCUAGUUCCCCACAGUGUGCAGCCCCAGUAGUCUGUUUUUCAAGUGCCUUAGGGACAAAGCACAGGCAAGAGAGGGAACCCCACCUGGACCCUUUGGAAGGGUGGGGCCCUGUAUGUUCAUGCUGUAGGUAGGCUCUCUUGAGUGGUUGGUAGACAGUGAUUUGUGUGUUUAGGGACCUGGGCUUCCACCUGUGGGAUUCCUAGAGCCACAUGACAACUCCAGGUAUGGUUAGUCAAGGCAGACGAAGAUGGGAUCUGACUCUGCUCAGCAGUGUCACCAUGGCCAUGGAAAUUGAGCCCCAAACCCCUCACUAUGUGAGACGUUGUCUGGAGGGGCUCGCACCAGCGCCAGAGUGUCCAGAUAUUAGCUGGGUGUGAUGGCUUUUCAAUGAGAAAUGCUUUCCCACCCCCAGAGAGGCGCCUGAGAAAUGAACUGGAAAGCCAACAGGGAGGGUGAUCAAGCAGUACAGGGCUGACAAAAGAACAAUUUAGUCAGCAAAUCUUUGAGUACUUACUGUGUGCUAGGCAUUAUUCUCAAUAAUUGUGUCAGUGAACAAAACAGAAAAGCCUCUAUUUAAUUGAACUGGCAUUCAGCAAGGUUGGCAGGCAAGCAACAAACCUAAUGAAUAAUUAUAUAGUGUGUUUGAAGGUGAUCAGUUAUAGAGGAAAAUGGAGCCGGUUUGAGGGCAUAGGAGUGCCUGGAUGGAGUUUCAUAAAGGGGCGGUCAAGGUAGCAGCAAUUGAGGGGGUGACAUUUGAGCAAAGACCUGAAGAAAUGGAAGGAUUUGGUCAUGGGAACAUUUGAGGGAAGGGUCAGUGGCCAGGCAAAGUCCUGAGGCAGAAGUGUGCUGUGUUUGGGAUGGGUGCAGGGCUGUCGGGGGUAAAAGGAUCAUGGUGGCUCAUGUGCUGAGACACAUACUUGAGGAGUAGGGACAGGAGCCAGAAGAGCAGCUGGAGGCUGUUGCAGUGGUCUAGGCGAGAAGGGACAGUGACUCUGACUAGGGUGGUGGUGACAGGGUGAGAGGUGAUCAGGCCAUCAGGAUUGGGUGUGUGCUUUGAAUGAGCAGCCACCUUGAUAUGCUAAUGCACUGAUGUGGAGUGAGAGAGAAAAGCCCAGGAUAACUCCAUUUGGUUUUGGCUUGAAUAAGUAGAAAUAACGGAGUUAUCACCAGUGGAUGAGGGGAAGACUGAAGGUGCAGCACGGGAGGGAAGGACAAGAAUUACUUUUUGGACACAUGGUGCUAAGUCUUGAGCUGCCCGCUGGAUGUUCAGGUGGGGGCAUCAUGUAGGCAGCUGGAGACAGAUCUGGAGCUCCACAGAGGAGGGGCCUAGCUAGAGCAGUGAACCUGGAGUUGCUGACAUAUAGGUGAUCCACAUCCAUCUAUGUUUGCCUGCAGUCCCCUGGGGAUGAGUGUAGGUGAAAAGACCAGACUGCCCAACAGGGGUGGGCUGAGGAGGGGAGCAGGAGCAGCCAGUACAGUGGGAAGAAAACCCAGAGAGUGUGCUGGCUCCUGGAUGCACUGGAGAGGAGGGGCCGGUCAGCAGGGACAGGGCCUGCUGCUGAGCAGACAGCAGGAUGGCAGGGCCAGGGGGCUGCUUGUGACCUGGAGCUUGGGAGAGACUCAGCCUGAUGGUGGCUGGAGAGAACAGGGAGAGGAAUGGGAAUGGUUGUUGUGAGGAGUUUUUGCUGCAAAAGGAAGUAGAAAAAAUGGGAGGUAGCUAGCAGGGACAUCGGGUCAAGAGGGUGUUUAGGAUAGGAGGAUGAGCGGGAUGCUUGCUGAACCCAGCUGUGGAGAGUGAAAAUAAGGCAGAAGAGAAAUGAGGAGUCACCGGAGCUGUGGCCUUGGUAGGCAAGCAGGUGGGAUGGAGCUGCAGGCUGGGCAGGUUCCAGACAGGAGCACAGGCGGCGUGUCUGUAGCUGAUUGGGGGGUGCAGAUGCUGCCAGCAGACAAGUGUGCCACUGGGAAAUGAGGUUAGUCUGAGAGUGGAGGGGGCACAGAAGGGUGUCCUCCUUGGGAAAACAAGAGGUGUGAGGCAGUCCUCUAGGUCGGACCCUCCCAGGGCUGUGGUCGUUAGAGUAAAGGGAAAGGGUCACAUGGCUGGGUGUUUCUCCAGGCUUUCUGCAUGCUGAGCAGGCUGUAACCAGACGUCUGGUCUUGUCCAGGGAGAGUGUCAGAGGCGUGUGGGGCUGAAUGCAAGGGGCUGGCCAUCAUAAUUAGGGACACAGUGAAACAACAGCCACGUGGCAUCGUGAGUGGAGUUGAAGGUUUGUUGGAGCCAGGAUCUCAGUAAUGAGCUGUAGCAAGGGAUUAAAACAAAUCAUUCCCAGACCCUGUUACCACCCACUUCCUAUUUUUUUUUCUAAUUCUUUAAAUAAAAUUGGCAAUACUAAUUUGCACUUACUAAACUUGAAAAUUGUAGUGCAGUGUGCCACUGGUAAUUGUCAGAUGAUCCAAUAAGUUGCUAAGUAAAUGGCAUGAUCUGUAGCAC